GGCGAACGCUGGCGGCGUGCUUAACACAUGCAAGUCGAACGGAAAGGCCCUGCUUUUGUGGGGUGCUCGAGUGGCGAACGGGUGAGUAACACGUGGGUAACCUGCCCUUGACUUUGGGAUAACUUCAGGAAACUGGGGCUAAUACCGGAUAGGAGCUCCUGCUGCAUGGUGGGGGUUGGAAAGUUUCGGCGGUUGGGGAUGGACUCGCGGCUUAUCAGCUUGUUGGUGGGGUAGUGGCUUACCAAGGCUUUGACGGGUAGCCGGCCUGAGAGGGUGACCGGCCACAUUGGGACUGAGAUACGGCCCAGACUCCUACGGGAGGCAGCAGUGGGGAAUAUUGCACAAUGGGCGGAAGCCUGAUGCAGCAACGCCGCGUGCGGGAUGACGGCCUUCGGGUUGUAAACCGCUUUCGCCUGUGACGAAGCGUGAGUGACGGUAAUGGGUAAAGAAGCACCGGCUAACUACGUG
This 468-nucleotide ribosomal RNA is filed under the name uncultured bacterium. Its description in RNAcentral is "partial 16S ribosomal RNA". It matches the Rfam family "Bacterial small subunit ribosomal RNA", at positions 28 to 507 of the family's 1533-position model. The record is from RNAcentral.